This 265-nucleotide ribosomal RNA is filed under the name uncultured bacterium. Its description in RNAcentral is "partial 16S ribosomal RNA". It matches the Rfam family "Bacterial small subunit ribosomal RNA", at positions 57 to 305 of the family's 1533-position model. The record is from RNAcentral.
GCAAGUCGAACGAGAAGCUUAGUCGAGACGAUUUAUCUGAUCGACUAAGUGGAAAGUGGCGGACGGGUGAGUAACGCGUGAGUAACCUACCUAUCACAGAGGGAUAGCCCCGGGAAACUGGGAGUAAUACCUCAUAAGACUACAGAUUCGCAUGAAUCAGUAGUAAAAACUCCGGUGGUGAUAGAUGGACUCGCGUCUGAUUAGCUAGUAGGUAAGGUAACGGCUUACCUAGGCGACGAUCAGUAGCCGGCCUGAGAGGGCGGAC